UACGGAGGAUCCAAGCGUUAUCCGGAUUUAUUGGGUUUAAAGGGUGCGUAGGCGGAUUGUUAAGUCAGUGGUGAAAGGUUGACGCUCAACGUUGACAUUGCCAUUGAAACUGGCGGUCUUGAGUGCAAAUGAGGCAGGCGGAAUGUGUUGUGUAGCGGUGAAAUGCAUAGAUAUGACACAGAACACCGAUUGCGAAGGCAGCUUGCUGGAAUGUAACUGACGCUGAGGCACGAAAGCGUGGGGAU
Molecule: ribosomal RNA, 245 nt
Filed under: uncultured bacterium
Lineage: Bacteria
Description: partial 16S ribosomal RNA
Rfam family: Bacterial small subunit ribosomal RNA
Source: RNAcentral